UGAAUGCAAUUUCCUAAGUACAAAAGUUCAAAUUUCAUCCACUAGACUAAUAUACACUAGUGUUUAUUUUAUUAUGGUAUUUAUUUUAUAGCGAUAUCUUUUUCGUUUGUGCAAUCUGUAAUUCAUAUAUUAAAUACCAAUUAGAACGAAUUUACAAGCGAUAAUGUGUCAAGAAGCUUGAAGAAUAACAGAUAUUUUUAAUACGGGACAAGUACACGAGAAAAAAAUAUGUUUAAACGUACAUUUAAAUUAGUUUUUCGUCCAAUUAAAAGCAAUUUUCUAUUGUUGCCUGAAAAUUAUUACAACGUAGUAUCAACAUAUGAUACUGGUUGUUUGAGUUUGCAAUACAGCGGGCACACACACUACGCAUCGUGGGCGCCACAUGCUGGCGCAGUGAAAGAUACCGAAAUUGGGAUCAAUGCCAGGGUGGCAAAAGAAAUCGGUUUGAGUGAAAAUGAUUUGGUGAAGUGUUCACUCAUAGCUGACGCAUUGACAUUGAGAAGCGUUUUUGUUACACCGGUGUCGGCCAAGGACUGGGAAAUAAUUGAGUUAAGCGGGGAAAAGAUCUCAAAUAGUGUCUUGGAACAAAUUCGCAUUGUAAAUUCUACACAAAUUCUUAUAAUAUGGAUAAACAAAUCAAUGCAAGUAGCCUUAACAGUAGAUCGUUUACGGCCAAUUGUCUCGUAUGGCCGUAUUGACCACAACACAGAGUUGGUGAUAGCACCAAAUCUGUAUAAGGAUAUUACGAAUGGUAGCAGCAAUGGUGUUUCCUCGAACACCAGUGACUCAAGCAUAAAUGCACUAGGCCAAUUGAAUCGCAGUCACACCAGCGCUCGGGUUCCCAACUUGACUGAAGGCAACUCCGAUCCUCAUUUGGUACGUUCAACAACAACUAAUAAUAUUAAAAAGUUAUCUCGCUCAGAGUCAAAAGCGAAAACGAGUCGCAAUGAUAAAAUGAUUCGUUUGAAAAAGGAUUUGCGUCGAGAAAGUACACAUACUUUGGAAUUUCGCGCUAUUAGCGGUGAAUGGAAGGAAAAAUCCCAAAUUUCUGACGUAUAUCUGAGUAAGAGUAAUUGGCCUCACUUUUUGGAAUGGAACAAUGUUUACUCUAUGAAAACACCCAGUGAGCAGGAGUAUUAUGUAAAAGUAUGUGUGUUGGCCGACGAUGAGGAACAGUACACCACUCAUACUAGUAUUCAGGUUAAUUUGAAUCUUAUGCGCAAAUUGAAUUUAAAAGAAAUGGAGAAAGUAGUACUCAAGCAGAAGGCGGCCGUGGUAAAUUUUGUAGAGAAAAUUGAACUGUACGCACAAAAGAAAACGCAUUAUAAGAUUAUUGAAAAUGCUUUUAAACGUUAUAUUAUAGAGAAAACCAAUAAAUCACCAAUGCUUUUAAAUCAGGAUGAAGUUGUACGCUUAGAGGAGAAUCUAACUGUGACCGUCGGUAUUUUGCCUGAACAUUUUCGUUAUUGUGUUAUAGAUUCGCAAUUUUUGAAAGAGUCAAAAAUUUAUGCUGCCGAUUUGGUUCGCAAAGUUGACGAGGUGCUUGAAGUACAACCCAAAGGGGAUUCUCCGUUAAGUGUUAAAGAUUUAAUAAAACUGCCAGCAUUUGAUGAAAUUGUUAUUAAUUUGGUGGAUGAAUUAAAAAUGAACUUGUGUUUGGAUUCAAAGAAUGCAAUAUUGAGACAAGGGAAUAUUCUUAUAGCAGGUGCAUCUGGCACGGGCAAAACUGUAGUGGUGGAGAGAAUAUUAGAUGAGUUGGUGAAGAAGCCUUAUUUUUGUUUUUUCGAUAUAUAUUACUGUUCGAGGAGUAAAGGAAGAAAGGCUGAAUCAAUACAAAAAGACCUGCGUAGUAUAUUUACCACUUGUUUGCAAAAUGCACCUUCCAUAGUCGUGCUGGAAAACCUCGAUGUACUAGCUCAUUCUGCAGGCGAUCAAACAACACAAGAUGGCGAAUAUUACAACCGAAUCGCUGACACUGUACAUCAAUUGAUUGUGCAAUAUACUAGUAACAAUCCCAUUUCAGUAAUCGCGACAGUAAGUGAGCUUCAAACAUUAAAUAAACGUUUAUUCUCGCCACGCGGACGCCAUAUUUUUCAAAAUGUAACAAGACUACCUAGUUUGGAACAUGAGGGACGAAAAUUGAUACUUCAAGAGCUUUGCAGUCACAUCGAAUCAGAGAAAUUAGAUUUGUGUAAAUUUACAAACUUAACUGAAGGCUACAACAAAGGAGAUCUAGUACAGUUGGUUGAGCGUGCUAUAUUUUACGCAUAUAGAAUAAGUAAAACUCAUCCUAUUCUCACAAAUGAGCUCUUAAUCGAUUCGUUGAAGAAUACGAAUUCUUAUUGCCUCCAAGGUAUUGAGAACCAUCAAAAGGUUAAUGAUGAUGACAAUUUCGACGAGUUGGCGGUUGAAGAGGUUCCGGGCUUAGAGCCAGUUGUUUCCGUAUUGGAGGAAGUGUUAAUGUGGCCAUCACGAUUCCCAAACAUUUUCCAAAAUUCUCCGCUUCGCAAUCAGGCUGGUGUUUUACUGUAUGGUUCGCCUGGAACUGGUAAAACGUUCCUUGUAUCUAAAAUUGCAAGUUCAUGGAAUUUGCGCACAAUAUCCGUUAAGGGGCCCGAACUGUUGGCUAAAUAUAUUGGACAAAGUGAAGAGAACGUACGGAACUUAUUUAAUCGUGCCCGUAGCGCGAAACCUUGUGUACUAUUUUUUGACGAAUUCGAUAGCUUGGCACCGAAACGUGGUCACGAUUCAACGGGCGUUACAGAUCGCGUUGUAAAUCAACUACUGACAGAAUUAGACGGUGUUGAGAGUCUGCAAGGGGUUACCGUAAUUGCGGCCACUUCUCGUCCUGAACUACUUGACCCAGCGCUACUACGUUCAGGACGUAUCGAUCGUUUCGUUGAAUGUGGUCUUCCCGACGCUUUGGCACGUGUGCGAAUUUUCGAAGCACUAUCAGCUUCUCUGAAUUUAGGUGACUGCGUUGAUUUUGAUUAUUUCGGCAGUCGCACUCAAAACUACACAGGCGCUGAUAUACAGAGCAUACUAACCUCGGCUAACAUGAUUUCGGUGAAAGAGGCUUUGUCCCAAUAUGGACAUGAGGAAAGAUAUGUACAUAAGCUAUACCAUUUUCAUCAACAAUGGCCGGCAUUAUUUGGAAAACAUGUGUGUUUAUGAAGAAAAGUUUUUGAAGAAUUGAUAAAAUAUAAUUGCGAAGACGACGGAGGAAAACUCUAAAUGCGCUGCCCGAGCUGAAAAUCUAAUGGGAUCAAUUGUAUCGCUAUCGUGAUGCAUUGUGUGAUAUUUUUCCCAAUGGUUAUUCCAAGUUAGGUUGUAUUAUUUCCUUAAAGGUCGAAAAGACCAAUUAUUUAUUUUCUUGCCUCCUCUAGGUUGUACAGAGUUUGGGUAAACGUUCUACACAGGUAAGCAUGGCUGUGCAAUGCCUUAAUUAACUACUUAUUCUUUACUCUGUGUAUUUUUUAAGUGUUUUUAGAUGACACUCAACACUUUCCAUUUUUCUGGUGUGUCGUACCACUUGUGCGAAGUCUAAAGGAAAUUAUUAAUAUCUCCAAGGAGUCAACAACUCUCUUACAGUAUUCUUUACUGGCGGUACGGCGCGGGACGCCGUGAAGGUUAAGAACGUGCAGUGUCGUUUGGAGCACACCGCCUUGUGAAAGAUAAUGGUCAACACUGUUAUUUAUACGCAGAGGACUGUCAUCUCGGAAGAUCAAGAAUUCGUAAAGGUCUACUAUGAGAUGCCCGAUUUCAAUACAACAUGAAUUUCGCCAUGGUUGCUGCGUAUCGAAUUAAAAUAUUUCAAGUGUUGAACAUAAAGGAUGUGCGUAAAUUGGUUGAGAAGAAAAUGAUUGCUUUGCUGAAGUUCUACGGCUUGUUCGUCAACUAUCGUCCCUUGGCCUUGUGUGAGGUAAUGACAGCUUACUGAAUACAAGUUACCCUUGUUAAUCAUUUCCCUGCAAGACGGAGGUUUCAACAGUAAAACACGAAAGCGGAAUCAAACUCAAACAAAGCAACAAAUGAUCAAACUGCGAAUGAAUAUGACGACUGGGAAGAUGAUUGGGAUAAUGACAAUGAAACUUAUUCGGAAAUUGGGUCCAGUGGUGAGACAAAAACUAGUAAUUACCCAGGACACGCUAACGCACUCACACAUUUCGCUAGCAAUUACACGGUAACUUUAAAAACGUCUAGUAUGCUCGGCAAAAGUUCGGAUUCAUAUAUAUGUAUUUUAUUGUGAGUCAAAUGCAAUUUCAACAUAAUUCUGUUGCAGGUACCAAGACGAUACAAGCAUUUUGAUUGGUUAUGCGAACGUGCCUCAUUCCCAUACCACCGUUGCUAAAUAAUCAAAUUUCUUAACGUUACGAAAAAUAAUUUGUGGAGCAUCGAUGGGUUCAAUAGCAAGAAUUUUUAGAUUGGGUUUUUAAUCAUCCGGUACUGUCACAAUGUGAGCUUUGACAUCAUUUCUUGACCUGCAACGAUGACAAGAUGUGAAAAUCAACGUGUCACGUAUGGUACAAUUGAAAGAGUGUUCUAUUGUUGGGCCAUAUCACCGUCGAAAAAACAUUGUUGUAUUCGCUUGUUAAGAAUUGCAACAUAUUGGUGAUAGCAAUUUGGGCCUGGCAAAGGCCUUAAAUAUAGAGGAGCGUAGUGCACCCUCAAAAACAACACCGAUUUCGGAAAGUGUUGGGCACGCCUAAAUUGGACUGGAUACCAUUCUCGGAGGUUUUGCAUAUCUACAAGUAACACGACACGAAAAUAAGUCUCUGUUUAGUUACAUAUGCAUGAGGAAUGACCUUGUGCCUGGAGAUACUCCAGAAGCCGAUAUUUCAGUAUCUUCUGACUGGUAUUAGAGGAUUUAAUCUAAUUUCUAACUCACUUAUUAAUCUCGUACUAUACUUAAAAAUAUAUCCCAAAUACGUAUACUUAUACCUAAUGUCUUCAUUUUCUAUGAAUUUUUAUUUCAGAGGCGUCCUCAUGAGUUUUCCUGAAAUUCUCUCAACACACAAGGGUGUAAUGCAAAAAACUCAAAGAAUCCGAACGUUUAACCUCUGAGCCAAAGAUGAGCAAUACCCAAAUGAGCGAUGUGAAUCGUCGCACUGAUGUUAUUUCCUAUGCUGUAAUGGCUAAAAAGUCGAAUUUUAAAGAAGAAUGUGAUACACAGAUGAAACAGGCGCUUAAAUCAUUUGUAGUCCAUUGCAUGGUGCAUUAUCGUAAUGAAGGGACGAAAUCAUAUUUUUUAUGCAUAUAGAUUUAUAAUUGUAGUACAAGUAAUUGUUUAUAAGAUUAUCCUUAUAGAUGUACUUUACUUGUUUAAGAAUACAUUUUAAGUGUUAAUAUCUAUAUUUAAAUUUUUGCUGUGUUAAUAUUUAUAUUUAAACUAUAAUAUGUAUAUAUUUAAUUUAUAUAUGUAUGUAUAAGCUAUAUUUUAAUAUUUAGUUUAAGUAAAUACGUUUUUAUAAAUAAAUGGAAGUAAUA
RNA transcript from Bactrocera oleae (olive fruit fly), 5487 nucleotides. It is a transcript of the gene named peroxin 1, with no coding region annotated. NCBI's taxonomy places the organism in Eukaryota, Metazoa, Arthropoda, Insecta, Diptera, Tephritidae. The record is from RefSeq and is a predicted model, not a curated record.